This 923-nucleotide ribosomal RNA is filed under the name uncultured bacterium. Its description in RNAcentral is "bacterial SSU rRNA". It matches the Rfam family "Bacterial small subunit ribosomal RNA", at positions 475 to 1401 of the family's 1533-position model. The record is from RNAcentral.
GUACCCAAGGAGGAAGCCACGGCUAACUACGUGCCAGCAGCCGCGGUAAUACGUAGGUGGCGAGCGUUGUCCGGAUUUACUGGGCGUAAAGGGAGCGUAGGCGGAUUCUUAAGUGGGAUGUGAAAUACCCGGGCUCAACCUGGGUGCUGCAUUCCAAACUGGGAAUCUAGAGUGCAGGAGGGGAGAGUGGAAUUCCUAGUGUAGCGGUGAAAUGCUUAGAUAUCACGAAGAACUCCGAUUGCGAAGGCAGCUUACUAACCUGUAACUGACAUUGAUGUUCGAAAGUGUGGGUAUCAAACAGGAUUAGAUACCCUGGUAGUCCACACGGUAAACGAUGAAUACUCGCUGUAGGCGAUAUACAGUCUGCGGCCAAGCGAAAGCAUUAAGUAUUCCACCUGGGGAGUACGCCGGCAACGGUGAAACUCAAAGGAAUUGACGGGGGCCCGCACAAGCGGAGGAACAUGUGGUUUAAUUCGAUGAUACGCGAGGAACCUUACCCGGGCUUAAAUUGCAACCGAAUAUGGCGGAAACGCUAUAGCUAGCAAUAGCGGUUGUGAAGGUGCUGCAUGGUUGUCGUCAGCUCGUGCCGUGAGGUGUCGGCUUAAGUGCCAUAACGAGCGCAACCCUUGCCGAUAGUUACUAACAGGUUAUGCUGAGGACUCUGUCGGGACUGCCAUCGUAAGAUGUGAGGAAGGUGGGGAUGACGUCAAAUCAGCACGGCCCUUACGUCCGGGGCUACACACGUGUUACAAUGGGGGGUACAGAGGGCUGCUACCACGCAAGUGGAUGCCAAUCCCAAAAACCUCUCUCAGUUCGGAUUGAAGUCUGCAACCCGACUUCAUGAAGCUGGAUUCGCUAGUAAUCGCGCAUCAGCCACGGCGCGGUGAAUACGUUCCCGGGCCUUGCACACACCGCCCGUCAAG